CUUGAUAUCUAUAAGAGGUCCAGCCUGCCCAGUGACCAAGUUCAACGGCCGCGGUAUCCUAACCGUGCGAAGGUAGCGUAAUCACUUGUUCUUUAAAUGAGGACUAGUAUGAAUGGCACCACGAGGGUUAUACUGUCUCCUUUUUCUAAUCAAUGAAACUAAUCUCCCCGUGAAGAAGCGGGGAUAAACUUAUAAGACGAGAAGACCCUAUGGAGCUUCAAACAACAAUAGCACUAGCCUCCAUCUUUAUACUUGAGAGAUAUAACUAUUAUAUUGGCUAACAUGACCAUUAGUUUUAGGUUGGGGUGACCGCGGAGCAAAAACGAACCUCCACAUUGAACGGAGUUUUCCUGAGCUAAAAGCUACAACUUUAAGCACCAGUAAACUGACAUCAAUUGACCCAACACGUUGAGCAACGAAC
RNAcentral lists this ribosomal RNA (421 nucleotides) under Dendropsophus nanus group sp. ABGD cluster 64. RNAcentral's name for it is "partial large subunit ribosomal RNA". It matches the Rfam family "Bacterial large subunit ribosomal RNA", at positions 1835 to 2443 of the family's 2925-position model. Lineage: Eukaryota; Metazoa; Chordata; Amphibia; Anura; Hylidae. The record is from RNAcentral.